GGCGGGGGAGACAUGAGUGGGGCCGCGGGGACCAGAAACGCUCCAACUGCAGCGAGCCCGGGAAGGCGGCGCACCGCCGGCCGCUGGAGAAGGCCGCGGCGGCCGGCCAGAAGCUGCACCUCGCGGCUCCCCAGCUGCUCCACCGGCAGGUGAAGGUGGGGAGGCGGCGGCGCUCCCAAACCCUCAACGGCUCCCCGACGGAAGGGCGCGCGGACGGGGGCCCCUCCCGCCGCGGAGGGCAGAGAGCGGCCAAUCGGAAGACCCGGCGGAGGCCGGCCCAGCCCUGGACGCGUAAAGGCGAAGGGGAGAGAUUGAAAAAUUCUACGGUUUCUGAUCUCCUGCGGCCUCUUCUUGCCCCGCGCCGCGCAGGCCUUGGCGGCCGAGGCCGGCGUAGCCCCCAGUCGCUCCUUCAUGGGCUUUACUGCGCCCUUCACCAACAAGCGAAAGGCCUACUCGGAGCGCAGGAUCAUGGGGUGAGCGUCUUGUUCUCCCCUCUUUAUUAACCGUACUUGGGAUGUAACGUGAGGGUACCAGUAGUGGGCAGGAUUCAUCCCUGACCACCCCUCUUCUGAGCUGUAUUAUUGAUCCUUUUUAUCUCCCCCGCCAGCCUUCCAGCCCUCCUUACUGGGCAUGUGCAUUAAGUGAAACCGCAGACAAAUGCGAAGACCGUAGGGCAUUACUUCUCCGAUUGCCUCUGUCCACCUCAGUACUUCGGAACUGAGCCCAGGACCUUCACACUGAGCUAUAUUCCAGGUCUUUUUACCUUUUAGAAUUUUGAGAUAGGGUGUAAGUUGCCAGGUCGCCCAGCCUGAGCUCUAGUUUGCUUCCCUCCUGCCUCAGCCUCCCAGAGUGCUGAGAUUUCGGGUGUGUACCACAGUGCCUACUGUUUUUGUUUGUUUCAUUUUGUUUUGUUGUUUUCAUACUGGGGAUGGUGCUUGCUUCGACAACACAUAUAGGUACUGGGGACAGAACUCAAGACUUUGCACUGAGCUUUGCCCCUGCCCUUUGAGACAAGGUCUAUGAUCUCCAGCCUGGGCUCAAACUUGGCAUCUUCCUGCUUCAGUCUUUCAAAGUGCUGGGAUUAUAGGCUUGCACCACCUGUUUUUUUUUUUUUUUUUUUUUUUUUUUGGUCUUUUUGAGACUUUUUGUCGCUAUCCAUCUCAGGCUGGCUUUGAGCUCACUUUGUAGCCCAGGCUGGU
Chinchilla lanigera (long-tailed chinchilla) is the source of this 1199-nucleotide long non-coding RNA. Ensembl lists it as uncharacterized. The record is from Ensembl. NCBI's taxonomy places the organism in Eukaryota, Metazoa, Chordata, Mammalia, Rodentia, Chinchillidae.